RNAcentral lists this ribosomal RNA (253 nucleotides) under uncultured bacterium. RNAcentral describes it as "partial 16S ribosomal RNA". It matches the Rfam family "Bacterial small subunit ribosomal RNA", at positions 524 to 776 of the family's 1533-position model. The record is from RNAcentral.
UACGUAGGGGGCAAGCGUUGUCCGGAGUGACUGGGCGUAAAGGGCGCGUAGGCGGCUAAAAAAGUCAGGUGUAAAAGGCACCGGCUCAACCGGUGAUAAGCAGCUGAAACUAGAUAGCUAGAGUACAGGAGAGGAGAUCGGAAUUCCUGGUGUAGCGGUGAAAUGCGUAGAUAUCAGGAAGAACACCAGUGGCGAAGGCGGAUCUCUGGACUGGGACUGACGCUGAGGCGCGAAAGCGUGGGUAGCAAACAGG